AUGUACUUUCAUCCAUAAGUGGUGAAGAUUUAUCUACUCAAAACACUAGAUCAAAUUCAGCACAUCUUAAUGUGAUGAAUAUUUUUUUUUCUAUUUCAAAAAAUUUGAUCCAUUAAGAAAAAAAUUUUCUAUGCUAGUAUCAACAAUUAUGAGAAUUAAUGCUGCAAAUAAUAUAUACUCACAUUACAACUAAAUAAUA
This 199-nucleotide long non-coding RNA is filed under the name Elaeis guineensis (African oil palm). RNAcentral's name for it is "long non-coding RNA (EGUI_LNC019234)". Lineage: Eukaryota; Viridiplantae; Streptophyta; Magnoliopsida; Arecales; Arecaceae. The record is from RNAcentral.